RNAcentral lists this long non-coding RNA (257 nucleotides) under Phoenix dactylifera (date palm). Its description in RNAcentral is "long non-coding RNA (PDAC_LNC003848)". Lineage: Eukaryota; Viridiplantae; Streptophyta; Magnoliopsida; Arecales; Arecaceae. The record is from RNAcentral.
AAAAAUCUGCUGGAGCCAAGAACCCAAGCCGUCAGACUCCCUUCCGUAAGAAAAGGUAUUUUUCUUUUCAAUUUUUGUAUGCAUCUCUUGAACCACAUUUUAGAAGAAAAAAAUUUUAAUCCUUUUCCAUACCUUCCAAAAUCAAUCUAUUGUUUUUUUUUUAUCAUCAACCUCGCGGCCCACGCUAAGGUCCUCCUCGAGCGUGGACCACGAAGAAGAGCCCAUGGACCGCGGAAAAUUAUUUUAUGGGAAAUUAU